GAUGAACGCUGGCGGCGUGCCUAAUACAUGCAAGUCGAGCGAACGGACGAGAAGCUUGCUUCUCUGAUGUUAGCGGCGGAGGGGUGAGUAACACGUGGAUAACCUACCUAUAAGACGGAGGUAACUUCGGGAAACCGGAGCUAAUACCGGAUAAUAUUUUGAACCGCAUGGUUCAAAAGUGAAAGACGGUCUUGCUGUCACUUAUAGAUGGAUCCGCGCUGCAUUAGCUAGUUGGUGAGGUAACGGCUUACCAAGGCAACGAUGCAUAGCCGACCUGAGAGGGUGAUCGGCCACACUGGAACUGAGACACGGUCCAGACACCUACGGGAGGCAGCAGUGGGGAAUAUUCCGCAAUGGGCGAAAGCCUGACGGAGCAAAGCCGCGUGAGUGAUGAAGGUCUUCGGGUCGUAAAACGCUGUUAUGAGGGAAGAACAUAUGUGUGAGUAAAUGUGCACAUCUUGACGGUACCUAAUCAGAAAGCCACGGCUAACUACGUG
RNAcentral lists this ribosomal RNA (497 nucleotides) under uncultured bacterium. RNAcentral describes it as "partial 16S ribosomal RNA". It matches the Rfam family "Bacterial small subunit ribosomal RNA", at positions 28 to 507 of the family's 1533-position model. The record is from RNAcentral.